RNAcentral lists this ribosomal RNA (468 nucleotides) under uncultured bacterium. RNAcentral's name for it is "bacterial SSU rRNA". It matches the Rfam family "Bacterial small subunit ribosomal RNA", at positions 328 to 793 of the family's 1533-position model. The record is from RNAcentral.
UGUCCAGACUCCUACGGGAGGCAGCAGUGAGGAAUAUUGGUCAAUGGGCUUACGCCUGAACCAGCCAAGUCGCGUGAGGGAAGACUGCCCUAUGGGUUGUAAACCUCUUUUGUCAGGGAGCAACGCCGGCUACGUGUAGCCGGACUGAGAGUACCUGAAGAAAAAGCAUCGGCUAACUCCGUGCCAGCAGCCGCGGUAAUACGGAGGAUGCGAGCGUUAUCCGGAUUUAUUGGGUUUAAAGGGUGCGUAGGCGGACAGUCAAGUCAGCGGUAAAAAUGCGGUGCUCAACGCCGUACAGCCGUUGAAACUGGCAGUCUUGAGUGGGCGAGAAGUAUGCGGAAUGCGUGGUGUAGCGGUGAAAUGCAUAGAUAUCACGCAGAACUCCGAUUGCGAAGGCAGCGUACCGGCGCCCAACUGACGCUCAUGCACGAAAGCGUGGGUAUCGAACAGGAUUAGAUACCCGCGUAC